GGGCGAUUAGCUCAGUUGGUAGAGCACCUCCCUUACAAGGAGGGGGUCAUCAGUUCGAGNNUGAUAUUGCCCA
RNAcentral lists this transfer RNA (73 nucleotides) under Candidatus Riesia pediculicola. RNAcentral describes it as "tRNA-Val". It matches the Rfam family "tRNA". Rfam says of the family: Transfer RNA (tRNA) molecules are approximately 80 nucleotides in length. The record is from RNAcentral. Lineage: Bacteria; Pseudomonadati; Pseudomonadota; Gammaproteobacteria; Enterobacterales; Enterobacteriaceae.